UUUUUGCUAUCUGCGAUCCGGACGAUUCGAGCAGGUUCGCACCGAACGUAGUGAGGCACCGGAGCCGUAAGGCGACGGCCCGAAGGGCGAGCGGAGCGAGUCAUCCUGUACGACCCACCA
This 120-nucleotide small RNA is filed under the name Leclercia adecarboxylata. RNAcentral's name for it is "RtT sRNA". It matches the Rfam family "RtT RNA". From Rfam's summary of the family: This family represents a bacterial cis-regulatory element known as RtT RNA. The exact function of RtT is unknown although it is thought that it may be involved in changing the cellular response in relation to amino acid starvation. Lineage: Bacteria; Pseudomonadati; Pseudomonadota; Gammaproteobacteria; Enterobacterales; Enterobacteriaceae. The record is from RNAcentral.